CUCAACAAAACUUUUCCUAGGCUAUGGAGCAAAAAGCACCUUCGGUUACCUGAAUGGACAG
Molecule: long non-coding RNA, 61 nt
Filed under: Microtus ochrogaster (prairie vole)
Lineage: Eukaryota; Metazoa; Chordata; Mammalia; Rodentia; Cricetidae
Description: ZEB2 antisense RNA 1 conserved region 2 (ENSMOCG00000008952.1)
Rfam family: ZEB2 antisense RNA 1 conserved region 2
Source: RNAcentral